This 5161-nucleotide long non-coding RNA is filed under the name Sus scrofa (pig). RNAcentral's name for it is "lncRNA (ENSSSCG00000055041.1)". The record is from RNAcentral. Lineage: Eukaryota; Metazoa; Chordata; Mammalia; Artiodactyla; Suidae.
AGCAGUGUAAUCAUUCCCCCCAAAAUAAAAGUCUUAACUCCCAAUUAAACUGUAAGCCCCUCAGGGUCAGGAUCGUGGCUGACCCGCCUGAGUGAAAUAAUCUUAUUUCUCUUUUUCUCUCCCUAUUUUCAUAGCCUUGUAUCCCUUGUUAUUGUUCCUGUGAAUUGGGUUCCUAACUGGCCUCUGACCUCCCUCCCAUCCCAUUCACUCCGAUACAGAACUGAUCAUAGCAGUAUUUUGCUUAAAACCCUCACACCUCCCCAUAGGCAGCAAGAAAAAUCCCACUCCCCCCAAAAUAGCAUUUAGGACAUUUUCAAUCCUGCUAUGUCUUCCUCUGCUGUCACAUAUGCUACUUCUUACCACACAUGCUCCAAAUGCCAACCACAGAGUGUCCUUUCUCACUCAAAUGCCCAGCUCACUUUAUUUGUGAGAUUCACUAGAAUGUGUCUGUUUCCCCCUCAAAUUGGAAAAAUACCUACUCAUCCCUCAAAACCCAUCUUAAAUAUAACUGUGUUCAUGAUGUUGUCUCCAACAUUCAUAUAGGGUGCUGUUUCCUCAAAUAUCCGUUGCAUCACUGAUUAAAUUCAUGAGACUAUUUCCUUAUUUCUUCCUCUUGCUACAUGAUAUCCUGGUUUGAAGUCUGAUAUUUUUUUUUUCUCCUCAGGAAAGUUUAUUUAUGCAAAAAGGGCUGGCUCUAUUCUAAACCUGAUAAGCAAUGGUCAUUUGUUAGCAUUUCAUUGCCUUUUUCCUCAGUCAUGACUAAUCUCUAUAUAUGUGUUCUUUUUUGUUCUUAAAGAGGGAAAUAAUAUAAUUCCAUUCUUAAUGUAGGGAAAAAAAGAUUUUUAUAUUUGUUUCUUAUUGCAUGUCUGGAAGAAGGAAGAAGUGGAGUCAAAGAGGGAAAUGCGAAUAUUAGGAUAAACAGAAAAAGGAGAUUAAAAUGGAAAGGAGGAGUUCUCUCAGUGGUGCAGCAGAAUGGAACCAAUUAGGAUCCAUGAGGUUGUGGGUUCGAUCCCUGGCCUUGCUCGGUGGGUUAAGGAUCCAGCAUUGCUGUGACCUGCAGUGUAGGUCUCAGACAUGGCUUGGAUCUGUCAUUACCGUGGCUGUGCCUAGGCUGGCAGCUGUAGCUCUGAUUCCACCCCUAGUCUGGAAACUUCCAUAUACUGUGGGUGCAGCUCUAAAAGGCAAAACUAAAUUAAUUAAUUAAUCAAUCAAUUAAAAUGGAAAGGAGUUCCAGUCUUGACAUCACCAUUUAGUGCUUUUGAGCUUUUAGAGAGUCAUAAUAAAAGGAAAAUAAAACAGUAGGGGACAAAAUAAUGAAAGAUUUAUAUUAUAUUUGGAAUGAUCAACAUUUACAUAAGCUACCGUAUUCAAAAUGAGUAGAGCCAUGGCCUUAAAAUUUGACCCAGUAAAUGUCUACCUUUACUUUGAAUCACCUCUUCAUUGUUUGUCUCUGUUUCCCUGUGAUUUAGUGCCUUCUUAUUUAAGACACAGCUUAAGGAUUGCCUUCUUUGAAAAGCUUUUCUUAUCUGGACAAAUGGGGUCAUGCAUUUGUAUGAGGGGGAAGGGGAUUCUUCUCUACUCCCAUAGACCUUGUGAUUCCUUCUAUAAUAGCAUCUUGUGCAGUCUUGACAGUGUAUCAUUUAUUUUCUCCCAGUCUAUCUAUCUAUAGAAUGGGGAGGUCUAUUCUAAAUGUGUAACUCAGUUCUUAGUGAAAGGUAACUAUUUAAUGAAUAUAUGUUAGACAAUUAAAAUGUGAGCCCCUUACAAUGGCUUUCAUCUUUAUAAAGACAUUUAGAGACCAUGCCAGCUUUAACCUCUUUUGGGUCCCUUGUUCCUCCCACAGUUUUCUCUGCAGUGCUUAGCAAGGGGUUGUAUACAGUGGCUAUCAGACAGUUUCUGCUGAUGGAAAGGAAUCUAAGGAGAUAUCAUGAUAUUAAUCUAUUUUUAAAACUAAGAUUGCAUUAUUAAUCAUUUUAUGCCAUGUCUCUCAGUGUUUUUCCAUUUUACCAAUAGUAAUAGAAGGCUCCAAGAGGUUGAAUUUUUUUCCUCAAAAGGAUUGUGAUAAAACAAGGGUUUAAAAAUCUCUACUUCUCUUCCAAUCCCCACAACACACAAUUCAACACAAUCAGCAUUCAUUGCAGUGACAAGAGGUAAUUGCCAUCAUCCAUAGUCAAUUUUAAAAACCUAGAGGAUGCUUAACCUAAAAACACAAAAGUAAAUGAUGUAUCAAUAUGGAAACAAUUUUUUCCCCUCUAGAACAUCACCUACUGCUUUAUUAAGUUUUAUCACGGCUAGAUAAUUUUUAUCAUAGAAAUAAUGUGCUAUGAUAUUCCUUUAAUGUUAUACUUCUUCUACUUUAUCCUUCUCAGUUGUUAGCAGAGCACUUUCAUAUGUGUUUUAAUCUUUGAAGGGAGGUGAACAAUUUCUGUAGGUCCAUGUCACAGGUGAGGAAAAUGAGUCUGAGGUUAAAUUAUUUCAAGAAAAUUGCCAUGAAUUUAAAAGGCAGAGCCCGGCUGGAAUUCUGUCAGGAAAUGAUCUUGCUGAGGUCAUAAUCUCUUUUGCCAAUAAGUGCAUGUUCUAUUGUUUCUUUUGUGGUAAUGUGGUCAUGGCCUCACAAUUCUGAGAAAUGUGUCCAUGUCCCAUCUUUUUCUAUACUUUGGAAGCUUAAAAUAUUCUUUUAUUGUCUUGACCUAUUUCCCUGACAGAAUCAUUGGCAUAUAUGAAUAAUUAAUGUUUUAUUGUUUAAUUAUUCCCUAAUACUGCUACUUUGUAAUCUUAUGAAAACAUUGUUCACAUUAUAAUCUUAACGUAGUAUUCAUUUACUAUGUAAACAUUUGGCAAAUAUUUCACUAAUGCAGUGGAAAUACAGGGAUAUACAUUUAAGAAAAUACACGGAUUCCUUGAGGUCAAAUUGACUUCAUCCAGUGUGAUCAUUUCUCAUCAUUUAGAAAUGGCUUCUUUUGCAUUGUGUGAAGAAUUAUGAAGCUGUAUUCAGCCUUGAUAAAUAAGGGUGCUAAGAUCAACUAGUAAUGUCUGCAGUGGGAAAAGGAUAGGAAAUGGCUGCACAUAGGUCAAAAAUGCCUGGUGUGUUGGGUAGUAUUCUUUUUGAAUUUAUUUAGUUGUUUUUUUUUUUUUUACAGUGAAAAUAUGGUAUAUUUUAGACUUUAUAAAUAAUAUGUGCUCAUCAAAAAAAUUAAAAAAAACAAAGACCAUGUUUAGGAAUAAAGUAGAAACUAUGCUUUAAUCUGAGCUGCUUUCCAUUAAUGUCUUGGUGAUCAUUUGUAUAUAGUUCGCUGUAUGUUUACAACAUGUGCGCAGAUAUUUAUACACUGUAAAUUUACAUAGACUGUUAUACACAUAUAUUUGUUUUGGAUAUAAACGUCUUUAUUUUUUAUUUUCUUAAAGUAUUUUUGUACGUUUAUUUGUUUGCUUGCUGAUCCACUGGCAAUCUUCUUCUUCCUUCACAACUCCAUACUAAGUAGCUCAUAUAAGCAGCAUGAUAGUAUUUAUCCACGCAGAUGUAGUCACACAAAUCUCUCUCUUCCUCAGAUACAUACAAAGCAUAGAUACAAUGUAUCUGUCAUUGUUUGUUUAGAAUGUCUUUCACAUACUUCCCUAUGUCUUCCUUUUUCUCUUUUAACAAAACAGCCUAGAAGCUGCUCCAUGUAAACUACCAUAGGUAUUUUCUCUGAGUGUGUUUCUAUAGUUAACAAGACAUUUUAUUUUAUUUUAUUUUAUUUUAUAUUUUUUUAACAAAGGUUUGGGUUUUUUUUGUUUUUGUUUUUGUUUUUUGUUUUUACUUUUUAGGGCCACACUUGCAUCAUAUGGAGGUUCCCAGGCUAGGGGUCCAAUCGGAGCUACAGCUGCCAGACUACACCACAGCCACAGCAAUGCCAGAUCUGGGCCGAAUCUGCAACCUACACCACAGCUCACGGCAACGCCAGAUCCUUAAUCCACUGAGCAAGGCCAGAGAUGGAACCCGCAACCUCAUGGUUCCUAGUCAGAUUCAUUUCUGCUACACCAUGACGGGCACUCCUAACAAGGCAUUUUAAUAUCUGAUUUCUAAUUCCGCUUCAAUAAACCCCUGAGGUGGUUAUACCAGGUAUUAUUAUUUUUUGUUCUUAUGAUAAGUAAAUGAUGAGUCAGAGAAAUCAAGUGACUUUUUCAUGUCUGACAGGCAUUGAAUGACAAGGAAAAAAAUAAGUUUACCUAGAUCUUCCUGUUCUAGGCCUAGUAUCUUCUACUCUGCUAAUAACUGCCACAGUUAAGUUCAGGAUUUUUCCAGAAAAGCUCAAGGAAAAGAAAGAAGGGCUUUGUACUCUGAUAUUUACAUUUCACUUACCCAAUGUCACUGUCGUAAUAAUCUACCUUUAGAGUAUUAUUGUACCCAUUUUCCAGAAUAAGGAUCUGAGAUCAGAGUUCAUAGAACAAGCCCAAACUCCCUUACCUAGAUGAGGCAAGAACUAAGCCCCGUGGAUGCGGAAUGCCAAAUCAUAUUUUUUUUGCACUAUCAUACUAAAUUUGGGUUUAACAUUGUGUAUCCUUUAUUUUAGUUAUUUUAACAAAAUGCCCUUUUAAGGACAGUGUUUUUAUCAAUCGUUACCUUUUUCUAGUAAAUGGAGACUUGCAGCACAUAAAUGCAACAGAGAUGAGGGAGAUUUUCUCUGACUGAUUGGCACUUGGUGCCAUAGAAGCAUUAAUAAGAUGAACGAGACUAUCAUCCACUGUCACAUUGCACUUGUACUGAAAUAACAAAUAAACAUUAGGGGUCUAGAAUUUGGACUCCUUUGUCUGAAGAGAUUACAUUUUACCUGUGGCUUCUCAAUUUUUAAGGAAAACGCUGAGUGUGGCUGAGGCAAAAUCCUUGAAAAACAGCCAUGCUAUUUCUUUAUCAUAUAUGAAGAAUGAAAAAAGCCACACGUAUUUUGUGUCAUCCUAUCCAUUACACGUAAGUCAUAUAAAGUGCCAUCGAUUUUUUUCCCAGAUAAGAGAUGAUAGUUUGUCAGUUUCUCAAGGACAUGUUAAGAUAUGUGUGUAUGUGUAUGUGUUUAAAACUAACAGUCUUGCUGUGCAUGAGAGGCCGGCAUUUGUUUUUGUGUGGAAUUUAUAAAACCAAGAUAAAUAGUGGAUGGGUGGUAAAAAUAAAUAAAAUGCUGCUUUG